GGGGACGAUCUGGCUUCGACGUGGGUUGCAAAGCAGCGCAGGGCAUACCGAGGACCAGAACACCUCGCAAAUCCAGCUGGAAAAAAAUAGUCGCAAACGACGAAAACUACGCUUUAGCCGCUUAAUUCGGCUAGCCUCUGCACCAGUGGGCCUCAACGCUGGGUCUGGCAACAGACAGCAGAGUUAUUAACGAGGACCGCGUUCUACAGGGUUACUUUGUAGCACGUUAAAUUUAAGGUAACUCGCCUGACAAUGGCUUGCCAGUUAGUAGUUGCCAGGUUAAAUUAAAAAACAUGGCUAAGUAUGUAGAACUGUCUGUAGAGGGCUUGCGGACGCGGGUUCGAUUCCCGCCGUCUCCACCA
RNAcentral lists this transfer-messenger RNA (362 nucleotides) under Nitrosomonas sp. It matches the Rfam family "transfer-messenger RNA". Rfam says of the family: Bacterial tmRNA, also known as 10Sa RNA or SsrA, is named for its dual tRNA and mRNA-like properties. The record is from RNAcentral. RNAcentral also lists the same sequence under 1 other name. Lineage: Bacteria; Pseudomonadati; Pseudomonadota; Betaproteobacteria; Nitrosomonadales; Nitrosomonadaceae.